Molecule: ribosomal RNA, 323 nt
Filed under: Hiatula acuta
Lineage: Eukaryota; Metazoa; Mollusca; Bivalvia; Cardiida; Psammobiidae
Description: partial 16S ribosomal RNA
Source: RNAcentral
CUAAGGUAGCGUAAUAGGUCGUCCUUUAAUUGGGGAAAAGUAUGAAUGGUCAGAUGGUGGAAAGACUUUAUUAGGGGUAGUAUUUUGAAGUUUACUUUCAGUGUGCAAAGGCCUGAAUAAUAUUAUUAGACGAGAAGACCCUGUUGAGCUUGAUAAAGUAUAGUCAAUUAGGCUGUAUAGUACGUUUGUUCGGGGCCGAGAGGAAGGGAUGAUUAUUCCUUCUUUGUCUGUGAGGAUCCAGCAAGGCUGAUAAGAAGAAGAUAGUUACCACAGGGAUAACAGCGCAAUCUUUUUGUCAAGAUCUAAUUUGAGGAUGGGUUUGC